Mycoplasma capricolum subsp. capricolum ATCC 27343 is the source of this 79-nucleotide non-coding RNA. NCBI's taxonomy places the organism in Bacteria, Bacillati, Mycoplasmatota, Mollicutes, Mycoplasmatales, Mycoplasmataceae. The record is from Rfam.
AGCCGCGAUAAGAAUAACAUCUGAAUGAGUUAGGACCGGAAGGUAGCAGCUAUAAGGAAAAGUGUUCUGUAUUGCGGUU